GCGGGGGUCGCCAAGCUUGGUCAACGGCGCUGCGUUCAGGUCGCAGUCCUCAGUGGUUCGCAGGUUCAAAUCCUGCCCUCUGCACCA
This 87-nucleotide transfer RNA is filed under the name Candidatus Poseidoniaceae archaeon. RNAcentral describes it as "tRNA-Leu". It matches the Rfam family "tRNA". Rfam says of the family: Transfer RNA (tRNA) molecules are approximately 80 nucleotides in length. Their secondary structure includes four short double-helical elements and three loops (D, anti-codon, and T loops). The record is from RNAcentral. Lineage: Archaea; Methanobacteriati; Thermoplasmatota; Candidatus Poseidoniia; Candidatus Poseidoniales; Candidatus Poseidoniaceae.